Halobacterium sp. is the source of this 66-nucleotide regulatory RNA element. It matches the Rfam family "S15-Halobacteria ribosomal protein leader". The record is from Rfam. NCBI's taxonomy places the organism in Archaea, Methanobacteriati, Methanobacteriota, Halobacteria, Halobacteriales, Halobacteriaceae.
GUAGGGAACGCACGGCCGUAGAUCCGACACGCCCGCCGGUUGGUGGGCUUGGGACUGCGGUAGUGU